Molecule: ribosomal RNA, 497 nt
Filed under: uncultured bacterium
Lineage: Bacteria
Description: partial 16S ribosomal RNA
Rfam family: Bacterial small subunit ribosomal RNA
Source: RNAcentral
GAUGAACGCUGGCGGCGUGCCUAAUACAUGCAAGUCGAGCGAACAGACGAGGAGCUUGCUCCUCUGACGUUAGCGGCGCACGGGUGAGUAACACGUGGAUAACCUACCUAUAAGACUGGGAUAACUUCGGGAAACCGGAGCUAAUACCGGAUAAUAUAUUGAACCGCAUGGUUCAAUAGUGAAAGACGGUUUUGCUGUCACUUAUAGAUGGAUCCGCGCCGCAUUAGCUAGUUGGUAAGGUAACGGCUUACCAAGGCAACGAUGCGUAGCCGACCGGAGAGGGUGAUCGGCCACACUGGAACUGAGACACGGUCCAGACUCCUACGGGAGGCAGCAGUAGGGAAUCUUCCGCAAUGGGCGAAAGCCUGACGGAGCAACGCCGCGUGAGUGAUGAAGGUCUUCGGAUCGUAAAACUCUGUUAUUAGGGAAGAACAAAUGUGUAAGUAACUAUGCACGUCUUGACGGUACCUAAUCAGAAAGCCACGGCUAACUACGUG